GUGAUUAAAUCGAGCGUGUCUUCAUUGACCGCUCACCCUUCUCACCAUCCACAUACACCUGUGCACUGUUUAGCCUGAGCCGGUUUUCCGGUCCAGGUUAUCAUUUUAUACAAACUCUAGUCUUAUGAAUGUAAACGUUUUAAUAACAUAAUA
RNAcentral lists this unclassified non-coding RNA (153 nucleotides) under soil metagenome. RNAcentral describes it as "partial internal transcribed spacer 1". The record is from RNAcentral.